GAGGCAUAGCUCAGUUGGUCAGAGCGCACGGUUCACAUCCGUGAGGUCGUAGGUUCGAACCCCACUGUCUCC
This 72-nucleotide transfer RNA is filed under the name human gut metagenome. It matches the Rfam family "tRNA". Rfam says of the family: Transfer RNA (tRNA) molecules are approximately 80 nucleotides in length. The record is from RNAcentral.